RNAcentral lists this ribosomal RNA (406 nucleotides) under uncultured bacterium. Its description in RNAcentral is "partial 16S ribosomal RNA". It matches the Rfam family "Bacterial small subunit ribosomal RNA", at positions 29 to 526 of the family's 1533-position model. The record is from RNAcentral.
AUUGAACGCUGGCGGCGGGCCUAACACAUGCAAGUCGAGCGAGCGGCGGACGGGUGAGUAGUGUAUGGGGACCUGCCCGAUAGAGGGGGCUAACUACUGGAAACGGUGGCUAAUACCGCAUACGAUCGGAUGCACCCAGUGGGGAUUAGCUAGUAGGUGUGGUAAAGGCUCACCUAGGCGACGAUCCCUAGCUGGUCUGAGAGGAUGAUCCGCCACACUGGGACUGAGACACGGCCCAGCCUCCUACGGGAGGCAGCAGUGGGGAAUAUUGCACAAUGGGCGCAAGCCUGAUGGAGCCAUGCCGCGUGUGUGAAGAAGGCCUUAGGGUUGUAAAGUACUUUCAGCGGGGAGGCGUUACCCGCAGAAGAAGCACCGGCUAACUCCGUGCCAGCAGCCGCGGUAAUUC